GCGCACCAGUCGCGAAAACUCCGCAAUACGCGAAAGCGUGACGGGGCCAUCCCGAGUGCCGUCCGCUGAGGAUGGCUUUUCCCCAGUGUAGACAGCUGGGGGAAUAAGGAGAGGGCAAGUCUGGUGUCAGCCGCCGCGGUAAUACCAGCUCUUCGAGUGGUAGGGAUGUUUAUUGGGCCUGAAGCAUCCGUAGCCGGCUGAGCAAGUUCUCUGUUGAAUCCAGCGAUUUAAUCGUUGGAUUGCGGGGAAUACUGUUCGGCUUGGAGGCGGGAGAGGCCGUCGGUAUUCUUUGGGUAGGGGUAAAAUCUUAUAAUCCCAAGAGGACCACCAGUGGCGAAGGCUGUCGGCUAGAACACGCCCGACGGUGAGGGAUGAAAGCUGGGGGAGCGAACCGGAUUAGAUACCCGCGUAGUCC
Molecule: ribosomal RNA, 415 nt
Filed under: uncultured crenarchaeote
Lineage: Archaea; Thermoproteati; Thermoproteota
Description: partial 16S ribosomal RNA
Rfam family: Archaeal small subunit ribosomal RNA
Source: RNAcentral